AGCCCACCAGCUAGCUCGCACCCUAAAUUACAACAACUCAAUAUUAAUAACCCCUAAUAACCUAACAUAAACCAGAAUCAAACCAUUUUUCCCCCUAAGUAUGGGCGACAGAAAAGGACCCACGUCGAAGCAACAGUGACAGUACCGCAAGGGAACGCUGAAAGAGAAAUGAAAAAAACCAGUGAAGCAUAAAAAAGCAGAGCUUAACCCUCGUACCUUUUGCAUCAUGAUUUAGCAAGAAAUUAUCAAGCAAAGAGCAUUUUAGUUUGACCCCCCGAAACCAGGUGAGCUACUCCAAGACAGCCAGUAGGGCCAACCCGUCUCUGUGGCAAAAGAGUGGGAAGAGCUUCGAGUAGAGGUGACAGACCUACCGAACCUGGUUAUAGCUGGUUAUCCAGGAAAUGAAUAGGAGUUCAGCCUUUUAUCCUCUCCCCCCACAGCCGACUACAUCCCCAAGUACCUGAGAAGAUAAAAGAGUUAAUCGAAGGGGGUACAGCCCCUUUGAAAAAGAUACAACUUCCACAGAAGGGUUAAGAUCAUACCAUAAACUAAGGAAACGUGUUCUAGUUGGCCUAAAAGCAGCCACCCACACAGAAAGCGUUAAAGCUCAUACACCCCCUCCUCCCCACUAUCCGGACCACAACAUCUUAUCCCCCUAAACAUACUGGAUCUUUGCAUACCCCUAUGCAAGAGACCAUGCUAAUAUGAGUAAUAAGAGACCCCGACUCUCUCCAAGCACGAGUAUACAUCGGAACGAACCAACACCGACAAUUAACGGACUCCAAAGAAGAGGACACUGGAACAUAAUGGCAAAACCACAAGGAAAAUAUCCAUGUCUUCCCCGUUAACCUUACACCAGAGUGCACCCAUGGAAAGACUAAAAGAGUGAGAAGGAACUCGGCA
This 903-nucleotide ribosomal RNA is filed under the name Sphaeramia nematoptera (pajama cardinalfish). RNAcentral describes it as "partial 16S ribosomal RNA". The stretch from base 200 to 704 matches the Rfam family "Bacterial large subunit ribosomal RNA", at positions 573 to 1301 of the family's 2925-position model. The record is from RNAcentral. Lineage: Eukaryota; Metazoa; Chordata; Actinopteri; Kurtiformes; Apogonidae.